RNAcentral lists this ribosomal RNA (924 nucleotides) under Triticum aestivum (bread wheat). Its description in RNAcentral is "partial small subunit ribosomal RNA". Lineage: Eukaryota; Viridiplantae; Streptophyta; Magnoliopsida; Poales; Poaceae. The record is from RNAcentral.
AUGGAAGACAAGCGUCCCUUAAAGGACAAAAUAACUUACCUCAUCAGCUGGACACUCCAAGCUGAAUCCGCGAUCUUCGGUAGCGGAUGCGGGAGCCUCGACGCCUUUGAACAACACCUUCCAUACCUCUUCAUACAUAGUGUCGAAGAGCCCAUUCAAAGUCUGGUGCUGCGCCGGAUCGAACUCCCACAAGUUGAAGCCCCGUCGUUGGCACGGGAGAAUCUGGCAGAUAAGCAUGACCUGGACUACGUUGACGAGCUUGAGCUUAAUGUCCACCAGCUUUUGGACGCAGGCUUGGAGUCCGGUCAGCUCCUCCGAAUCACCCCAAAUCCGGCCGCUCUCUUUCCAGGAGGUGAGCCGUGUGGGGAUGCCAGAUCUGAAUUCGGGGGCCGCUGCCCAUUCGGGGUCACGCGGCUCGGUGAUGUAGAACCACCCCGAUUGCCACCCCUUGAUGGUUUCCACAAAAGUGCCCUCCAGCCACGUAACGUGGGACAUCCUGCCCACUAUGGCACCUCCGCACUCCGCUUGGCUACCCUUCACAACCUUCGGCUUGACACUGAAGGUCUUGAGCCACAAGCCGAAGUGGGGCUGGAUGCAGAGGAAGGCCUCACACAUGACGAUAAACGCCGAGAUGUUGAGGAUGAAAUUCGAGGCCAGAUCAUGGAAAUCCAGGCCGUAGUAGAACAUGAGCCCCCGGACAAAGGGAUGGAGCGGGAAGCCCAGUCCGCGGAGGAAAUGGGGAAGAAAUACUACCCUCUCAUGGGGCUUGGGGGUGGGGAUAAGCUCUCCCUCGAUGGGGAGCUGGUGCGCGAUGUCGCUGGACAAGUAUCCGGCGUCGCGCAACUUCUGGAUCUGCCUCUCCGUGACGGAGGAGGCCAUCCACUUGCCUCCUGCUCCGGACAUAGUUGGAGAAGGUUGAGGUGA